CCCAUUGUCCCAGCCUCCAUCCGGGGUGAACACCAGCCCGUCGGCUCCCUCCCACCGGGCUGCAGCUCCUGCCUGGCCCCUGCCUGCUUCUCAGAGGCUGUCAUUUUUGGCAUCUGCCCGAGCGGGGGAGGGGAGUCUCUGAAGCAGGUGUCCAGGAUGGGGUAGAGCUUGCCCUGGAAGUCGGCCUGGAACGUGUAGAGGGGCCGCAGGUCAUCGGGCCGGUCGGCGUCGAAGAAGCUCCAGGAGUGGGUGCGCGGUGGCCGGGUCCAGCUUCAGCGACUCCGGGGCUAGGAAAGAGGCCAGAGAGAGGCUGGUGUGAAGCCGAGGGGAAGGCGGCCGGCGCUGGCCCUGGACAGCCCCCAGGGUCUCGGUGGGCCCAGGAAGGGGCUGCCUGCUGAACGGAUGCCAACGACGUAAGGUGCAGAGAGCAGGCACCGAGCAGAGGGACCCGCGGAUGGCAGCCACCAACAGGGGCCCAGCCCCGCCCUCUCGGCGGCCGGGAGACUCCGCAGCGCCUGCGCCACUCCGUGAGUCCCCGCUGGUCCACUGACCCCGAAAUGUGCGAGCGGGCGCCAGUGAACAGCGAACACGCCGCCAUGUCCUCUCCGCACCCCCUCUUUCAUUUUCUUUAAAUAGAACCCUGUUUCCGCUUCACUAGUGACAUCAGUCCACUGAGUAAGCGCUGGCUGAGGACGAGUAAGCAGCAGGCUGGCGGCCAUGUAGGAGUUAAUUAAAUGUCUUUGACUUGUUCUGUUUCUAAGUAUUUUGCCGUUCUCACGUCUCCAGGUUUGAAUUUACUUGUUUGAAAGGCAGAGAGACAGAGAUAGUCCAUCGGCUGGUUCACUCUCCUAAUGCCUACAACAGCCAGGGCUGGACCAGGCGGAAGCCAGGAGCCAGGAGCCCCAUCUCCACCUCCCCCACAGGGAGAGGGGCCCAGGUAUUUGAGACCUCGAUGCUGCCUCCCAGGUGCGCGGCAGCAGGAAGCUGAAAGCUGAGCUGAUCGGGACGCAGCCCUGGCCCGCUGCACCACGCACACACCCCUGAGUGAUCUGCACAGAGCACCAAACCUCACCUCUGACAGAUGGCCUGAGGCUGACAGGCCACAGCCUGCCCGGUCCUGGCCAGUGCCGUGUGGGGCUGAGCUGGAACCCGAGUCUCGGGGGACAACCCCGCCCCCGCCCCGCGCUCUCCCCGCUGCCCACGCCCGCCCCGCUCUGCAUCCCCACCGCUGAGACCUCUUCAAGAGGCGGGG
Oryctolagus cuniculus (rabbit) is the source of this 1252-nucleotide non-coding RNA. NCBI's taxonomy places the organism in Eukaryota, Metazoa, Chordata, Mammalia, Lagomorpha, Leporidae. The record is from RefSeq and is a predicted model, not a curated record.